GGGUUAAGAUGGCGGAAUAGAAGGACUGGAGCUCACCUUCUCUCCUAGAAACAACAAAAUUACAGCCAAAUGCUGAGCAAUCGUCAACCAAAUGGACCAGAAGCUUUCAAAAAGAUAUCCUACUCCAGAAGACAAAGAGGAGGCCACAUCAAGAGCUGUUGGAAGCAACCCUGUUGAUAUGGCCAGAGACAGUUGUUCAGCAUCUUAACAGCAAGACUGAAAGGGCUGAAGAAAUGGAAGUCACGGUUAGUGAGAAACUGACCUCAUUCUGCAGGAAUCCCUUCUGGAAAGGGGAAUUGCAGAGUGUUGUGACAGGCGGAAGAGCUACUCAUUGACAACCUACCAGGUUCACUGCCUCUGAUGGAUGAUCACAUUCAGCCUCACAACAGCACUGAGAAUGGGAUAUUAUCAUCACGUUGAAUGUAAGAACAAUGAAACUUAGGGAGUUCAAGCAACUCGCCCCAAGUCACCUGGGGGUUACCUUGCAUGGGUAUAAGGUGCACGAUUGCUGGGGCCGUCCAGCUGUAUGCCUGGAAAUGAAAGGGACACACGGAGAGAGGAGCCUGAUCCAGAACUGCAGCAGGAAAUCCAAACUGGAGCCUGUCUCAUCUCUUGAACCUCAGUUAUUUGAAUUGGCACUCUUGCCACUUGUGCCCAGAUCCUCACAGCAGUCCUUACAUACCGUUAGCCCCGUUUUGCAUGUGAGCAAAUCGAGACGGGAGAGAGCUCCAAGAUCACACCGAGGGUAAGUGGCACGGUGGAAUUAAAGUUCCUCUCUGUUUCUCUGUCUGAUUCCCAGGUUGAUAGUUUUGUCACUGUUUUCACCGGAACACAUUAGGUUGAGUGCUCUGUUGUAGAACUUGCCCUUUAAGCUGAAGAUACUUCUUUUUAUGGGUCGUCUACUGUUCCUCUUUGCCUCCUUGGCCUUUCCCUGCUUGUAGGUCAACAAUUUUUAAAAACAGAUUUGGCUUCCUUUGCAAUUUCACUCCCAUUUUCACAGGUGAACAGCACCUACCUGAAGUCAGUCGUUGAUAACUCGUUUGAUUUAGAAUAGCUGCUAGUUUGUAAAUAAGGAAACCAGAACCCUAGCCGUAUUCUUUUCAAAUCAGUCCUUCUGUUUUAGAAAGUUGACGGUGCUGAAUUAGUGGCAUUUUGUCUUUAUUGUUCAAAUGGAAACUUGAAAGAGAAGUUCCAUCGUGGCGCAGUGGAAGUGAAUCUGACCAAUAUCCAUGAGGACGCAGGUUCGGUCUCUGGCCUUGCUCGGUGGGUUAAGGAUCCGGCGUUGCUGUGAGCUGUGGGAUAGGUCGCAGACGGGGCUGGGAUCCUGUGUUGCUGUGGCUGUGGUGUAGGCCUGUGGCUACAGCUCUGAUGUGACCCUUAGCCUGGGAACCUCCACAUGCCAAGGGUGUGACCCUAAAAAAAUAAAAAAUAAAACCUUGAAAAGGUAGGUAAAGAGAUGGUGCAGGUCCUGUGUUUCUCUAACUUAUUAAAUGUCCUCACUAGACUGACGUUCCCAUGAAGUAUUUCUGACUGCGAAUCCCCAAAUGUCAGGACCUUAUGAAUCAACACCACAGCUCAGCAUCCUUCUGCCUUGUCUCUCAUGACGUUUUUCCUGAGGAAUGGGAUCUUUCCAUCUUUCACCCUUUUGUGAAGGGUGUCUGUUUAUAAACUGGAAGGAGCACAUGGGAGAGUCUUUUGAAACUUUUUGGUUCUUGCCUAAAAUAACUAAUACAGAGUGUCUGGGGGAGUUAUUCUACAGAGACUUUUUUUUUUUUUUUUAAGGAAAAGUAUGGUGAAGCCCAGAAUUGCUUGUAGUUUAGGAUACUGACCUUUAAGAGGUAAAUCUCAUCAUUCCUUCUUCUGUGGAUUAGCAUUUCACACUUGGUGGAUUAAGAACAAAUAAGAAUUAAUAGCUCUACAUAUCAUGAGGUUUCAGAUAAGAAGAGCAGAUGUGAUAUGAUAUAGGAUAUAGGAUAUGAUAGAGUAGAAAGAACGUGGACUGAGCAUUAUAUGUAACUCCAUUCAACGCCUGGUUCUCUCACUCAGGAUGUACACAAAAUCGUUACGUCUUUUGUUGACACAUAAAAAUAGACUAAGAAGGGAGUUCCUGUUGUGGCACAGUGGUUAACGAAUCCGACUAGGAACCACGAGGUUGGGGGUUCGGUCCCUGCCCUUGCUCAGUGGGUUAACAAUCCGGCGUUGCCGUGAGCUGUGGUGUAGGUUGCAGACGAGGCUCGGAUCCCGCAUUGCUGUGGCUCUGGCGUAGGCCGGUGGCUACAGCUCCGAUUCGACCCCUAGCCUGGGAACCUCCAUAUGCCGCGGGAGCGGC
This 2329-nucleotide long non-coding RNA is filed under the name Sus scrofa (pig). RNAcentral's name for it is "lncRNA (ENSSSCG00040074947.1)". Lineage: Eukaryota; Metazoa; Chordata; Mammalia; Artiodactyla; Suidae. The record is from RNAcentral.